UGAACUGGCCGCUAUAAUAAAAGAAUAAAAGAAGCCUGUAAAGUCCCACUGCCAAGGAUAUGGGCUUAAUCGACCACGGUGCUCUACUGCGGAUUGGUGGGUACAUUCUCUUCCAAACAGGAAAAAAAUAUUUUUACAAAGACAAGUAUCCAUUCCGAGCGGGAAUCCAAUCUGCAAACCGCUGAUGUUUUAGGUGCCUAGACGUUAC
Molecule: unclassified non-coding RNA, 208 nt
Filed under: Melitaea cinxia (Glanville fritillary)
Lineage: Eukaryota; Metazoa; Arthropoda; Insecta; Lepidoptera; Nymphalidae
Description: misc RNA ENSMCXG00005010197.1
Source: RNAcentral